CUCCAGACUCCUACGGGAGGCAGCAGUGGGGGAUAUUGCACAAUGGGGGGAACCCUGAUGCAGCGACGCCGCGUGGGUGAAGGAGCGUUUCGGCGCGUAAAGCCCUAUCGGCAGGGAAGAAGGAGGACGGUACCUGACUAAGAAGCCCCGGCUAACUACGUGCCAGCAGCCGCGGUAAUACGUAGGGGGCAAGCGUUAUCCGGAUUUACUGGGUGUAAAGGGAGCGUAGACGGCCAUGCAAGCCUGGAGUGAAAGCCCGGGGCCCAACCCCGGGACUGCUCUGGGAACCGUGCGGCUGGAGUGCGGGAGGGGCAGGCGGAAUUCCUGGUGUAGCGGUGAAAUGCGUAGAUAUCAGGAGGAACACCGGCGGCGAAGGCGGCCUGCUGGACCGCGACUGACGUUGAGGCUCGAAAGCGUGGGGAGCAAACAGGAUUAGAUACCCUCGUA
RNAcentral lists this ribosomal RNA (447 nucleotides) under uncultured bacterium. RNAcentral's name for it is "bacterial SSU rRNA". It matches the Rfam family "Bacterial small subunit ribosomal RNA", at positions 329 to 792 of the family's 1533-position model. The record is from RNAcentral.